CACGAAACCGAGAAGAUUCACUAUCGGAUUCGUCGCUGCGUGUGUAAAUGGCAAUAUGAAUUCGGUUUUGUCAUAAAUCCGAAAACUUUCGCUCUAGUGUAAACGGCGUCUUAAUUGUCUUGUUAGUGUCGAAAUUUCUGUAUUAAACCACGAUUUGCGAUCCUGCAACGCUUAAUGAUACCCAUCCUUGCAAAAGUGCGUCUGAAUUAAAAGUCUGAUCAUUUUAUCCAAAAUUUAUUCCAUUUUUAUAGCACCUCCCGUAAUAGCCAGACAUUUAUGGAUCUUUGCCCAUAUCCUGAGUGGCCAUAUUCUGGGGGAUGUCCUCCUUCAUGUCCAUGGUAACACCGUGGCAAGGAACUUUGCCACCAUAUUCGACGGUUCAACCUCUUGGGUAGGUACAACCUUGGGUAGGAGAGACUGUUUGAUUGCUCCUACUAACUGCAGAGAUGGUUUAUCUAUUGGCUUCAAGAUCAAGUUAACUGGGCUGACUAACUCCCCGGAACAGCGAUAUAUUGUUGAUACUGGUGUUCUCAGCAUGGAUACUCGUGGGAUUGCUAUAUAUAUGCAACAUGGUAAAUUGUUUUGCGUGGUGAUGACCAUGACAGGAGAGUGGAAGGUUUGUGUAAAAUUUCUUAUCUUUUCCUCUUUCUAUACGGCGGUAGUGCUCCGCCUAGACACCAGUGUGGACCUAAUGCUUG
Paramuricea clavata is the source of this 698-nucleotide non-coding RNA. NCBI's taxonomy places the organism in Eukaryota, Metazoa, Cnidaria, Anthozoa, Malacalcyonacea, Plexauridae. The record is from the annotation of a GenBank genome assembly.